CCUACGGGAGGCUGCAGUGGGGAAUAUUGGGCAAUGGAGGAAACUCUGACCCAGCAACGCCGCGUGAAUGAUGAAGGUCUUCGGAUUGUAAAGUUCUUUUCUAAGGGAAGAAGAAAGUGACGGUACCUUAGGAAUAAGCCUCGGCUAACUACGUGCCAGCAGCCGCGGUAAUACGUAGGCGGCAAGCGUUAUCCGGAAUGACUGGGCGUAAAGGGUGCGUAGGUGGUUUGACAAGGUGGUAGCGUAACUCCGAGGCUUAACCGCGGAACUACUACCAAAACUGUUGGACUCGAGUGCAGGAGAGGAAAAUGGAAUUCCUGGUGUAGCGGUGGAAGGCGUAGAUAUUAGGAGGAACACCAGUGGCGAAGGCGAUUUGCUGGACUGUAACUGACACUGAGGCACGAAAGCGUGGGGAGCAAACAGGAUUAGAUACCCUUGUAGUC
Molecule: ribosomal RNA, 443 nt
Filed under: uncultured bacterium
Lineage: Bacteria
Description: partial 16S ribosomal RNA
Rfam family: Bacterial small subunit ribosomal RNA
Source: RNAcentral